CGGCCGUGGUCACGCGGGGCGGCGCGCAUGCGCGGGGCGGCUGUUUAGCGCCGCCGUUAGCGCUGCCGUUAGCGGCGGGGCUCUAUGGGGAGAACAUGGCUCCUUUCCCCGAGGAGGUGGACGUCUUCUCGGCUCCGCACUGGCGGAUGAAGCAGCUUGUGGGGCUCUACUGCGACAAGCUUUCCAAGACUAACUUCUCCAACAACAAUGACUUCCGGGCUCUGCUGCAAUCUCUUUAUGCCACAUUCAAGGAAUUUAAAAUGCAUGAGCAGAUUGAAAAUGAGUGUAUCAUUGGUUUACUUCAGCAACGUAGCCGGACAGUGUACAAUGUGCACUCGGACAACAAACUCUCAGAGAUGCUUAGCCUCUUUGAGAAAGGGUUAAAGAAUGUGAAGAAUGAAUACGAACAGCUAAACUAUGCGAAACAGCUGAAGGAGAGAUUGGAAGCCUUUACCAGGGAUUUCCUUCCUCAUAUGAAAGAGGAAGAGGAGGUUUUUCAGCCAAUGUUGAUGGAAUACUUUACUUAUGAAGAAUUGAAAGAUAUUAAGAAAAAAGUAAUUGCACAGCACUGCUCACAGAAGGAGGCUGCAGAAUUCAGAGGUCUUAGUAAGUGGAAUCAAGCAGAAGAGCUGCAGAAGGUCUUCAAAUAUUCUGUGGAUGAGAAGGCAGAUCAAGAAACCGAAGUAACAGGGCACACCACAAAUAUUAGUAAUCUUCCUCCUGAAGUAAUGCUGACCAUUUUCAGUUACCUUAACCCCCAAGAGUUAUGUCAGUGUAGUCAAGUAAGCACUGAAUGGUCACAGCUGGCUAAAACUGGAUCUCUCUGGAAACAUCUUUACCCUGUUCGCUGGGCUAGAGGUGAUUGGUAUAGUGGUCCUGCAGCCGAUCUUGAGACAGAACCUGAUGAGGAAUGGGUGAAAAAUAGAAAAGAUGAAAGUCGUGCUUUCCAGGAAUGGGAUGAAGAUGCUGACAUAGAUGAAUCUGAAGAAGCAGCUGAAGAUUCACUUGCUAUUAAUGUAGCACAAAUGGAAAAACGUUUACUUCAUGGCUUAAUUCAUAAUGUCCUCCCGCAUGUAGGUUCCUCAGUGAAGACAUUAGUAUUGGCCUACAGUUCUGCAGUGUCUAGCAAAAUGGUUAGACAGAUCUUGGAGCUUUGCCCAAACUUGGAAUAUUUGGAUCUCACUCAAACUGAUAUUUCAGAUUCUGCAUUUGAAAGUUGGUCUUCAGUUGGUUGUUGUCAAAAUCUCCGCCACCUUGAUCUGUCUGGAUGUGAAAAAAUCACAGAUGUGGCUAUAGAGAGGAUUUCCAGAGCUCUGGGUAUCAUAUCCACUCACCAUAACAGAGGUAUCCUGAAAAGCUGCAGAAACAGGAAUGCUAAGACUUUGUGGAAAAACAGAGAGAUUACUUUGCAGUCCAACAAGAAGUAUAAUUGUUUGCAUGAAAUCAACAAUGAAAACCUCAUUGAGGGAGGAGAUAGUGAGCAGCAUUGGACUAAACCUGACGGCUCAGAAAACUUCAGUUCUGCUUAUGUGUGGAUGUUAGAUGCAGAUGAUUUAGCUGACAUUGAAGAUGCUGCGGAGUGGCGACACAGAAACGUUGAAGGAUUUUGUCUUAUGGAACCAACAUCCCAUAUUAAUUGUUCUGCAUCUUGCUACAGUAGAGACAUUUAUGGAUUAAGGACUAGAGGGUGGCAGCAGCACUGUGCUUCUACAGACUUGAUUUACUGCGGUCACUCAUUUUGUUGUGCUGGGACAGCACUAAGAACUAUUCGAGCACUUCCAGAGUCCUCUGCACUGUGUAAAAAACCAACAAGGACUAAGCAGUCAGAGAAAAAAGACUCAGCAUACUCUGGGAGUGAAAAAACAGAUGAAGAGACUGCACGAGUUCUUCAGUUUCUCAGUCUGUCUGGAUGUUACCAGAUCACAGACCGUGCUCUCAGGGCAUUGACUCUGGGAGGAGGACUGCCGCAUUUGGAACACCUUAACCUCUCGGGUUGUCUCACUGUAACUGGUGCAGGCCUGCAGGAUUUAGUUUCUGCAUGCCCUUCUCUGAACGAUGAACACUUUUACUACUGUGACAACAUUAACGCAGCAGCCAAAAAAGCCACCAGUGUUAUGCGGCAUCAGGGCGUUGGGAACAAGAUAGUGUGCUGCAUGGUCCUGGAAGCCUUGGGGCACUCACAUGUGGAGUACUGCAUGCGGUUUUGGUCUCCCCAUCUUGAGGAGUGUAUGUGAUGGAGUUACAGAAGAUACAGAAGAGGCCUACUAAAAAGAGUUAGGGAACUGAGCGGCUGUCUUGCAAGGAGACACUCAAAAGGCUGGAAUCUUUCAAUAUGGGAAUGAGAAGGCAGGAAGGGGGAUGACUUUCCAGAACUGGGAAGGCAAUAGAUGAGGUGACUGUGCAACAGUAACUCUCCAAAUUCUGCAGUAUUAUCAUUCGGCAACAGUAGAUGAAAUGGGUAGGAGAUUGAUUUAAAGCAGACACACAACGUAGCAAACUUCUGGAAUUUGGCCCUGUGGGGAAUUGUGGAAGCAGUUAGUAUCAGCAGGUUAAAAUAGAGGUUAAACAAAUGCAUGCACAAUUGAGCCUUAAACAAAUAAUAAAGAGAAUAGACUUUAAUGUCCCUACUACAACAGUUAGGGAUGCUGGGAAGACACGAAAGGUGUGCACAGUAGGCUUUUAUCUCCCUCGGUAACACUUGCUGUUGCCAGUGAUGGAGGUAGGGAGGGUUAGAUGGACCAUUGCUCAGACCUAGAAGGACAGCUUUUCUGUUCCAGUUGUGAGCAAGAGAAGGAUGGAAAGCGGUGUCAAAAUCCUUCCUUGGGAUUGUUGUGGUUCUGUAGGUUUUGUCAACAAGCAUUUUACUAGAAAUGUGACAGUUGCUUCAAAAUUACUGCUGCGCUGCUUAGCGGUGGCAAUGAUGAGGAAGGUCAGCUAUGACUUGGGAAAUGCUGCCACACAGAACAUGCGCUGCUAAACCAGCUAUUCAGAAGCACCGACUCUAGCUCGUCCUCAUGCUGAAACCGCCAGUGGAUGCCAGAAUUUGCAGUGUGGUUUUCGGGCCUGCUGCCGCUCUGGCGAAUGACCGCUGACUUCUGACCUUUCAGUCUACUUCAUUUAGCUGAGCAGGCUUCCUUUCAUGCACUUUACUUACAGUUCGCAUCUUGUGUUAACAAUCCUUGGAGUGAGAUUUGUUAUACUAGCCUGACCCUGCCCACAACUUCAAAAUGUUAAUUAUGAGUGUACUGUACAGUGUUGUAACAAUCUCACAAAAUCUCAUUUGGUUUGAAGGGUGUUGGGUUUUGUUUUACUUAAUUUGGGGAAGAUGGGAAAACAUUCAGAUUAUUUUUUUUUUAAUGCCACUUUCUUCCAAGUUUGGCACUUAAAUAUACUUUACAGGAUUAUUUUUGUGUUAAGUGAAUGUUUUUUUAAUUUUGAAUCCGUAAGUACAAUAUAAAGCUCUGCAGAGAAUUUGAAAUGUACUGUUUGCAUUUGGGUAACAAUUCUACAUCUUUAGGAGCCUUGUUUCUUCCCCCUUUCCUCUCAUCCUGAAGUCGUUCUUUAUAUUGCAAAAUUAGGGAAAUUCCCACCUUCCUUUUGCAUUUGGUUUUGUAUUUGGGCUUGAAAGACAUACUCAAAUAAAACAUUCCCACCAACAAAAAAGUUAUGUAGCGGUUGAAUAUAUAUGCUUUUAAGGUGUAACAUCCAGGCGUGCCAUACCAGUAGGCUGCAGAGACUGGGUGGGUGGGUGCUGUGCUGGUUGCAGAGCUGUGAACCUUGCAGUGUGCGUGGGGGGGUUUGUUUUGGUUUUGUUUCUUCUUUGACUGUGUUAAGAUGCAUUUUUGAAACAACUUCAAAGGAUGUCAGUUCUCAUUCACAGGAAAUCUGUAGAAGACAAUGAUACAUUUUGCCCAUUGCUUUGAUUUUUAGAAAGACCCCUCCCUGCACAGUAAGGGACUGGCAGGGAGGAAGAGAAUCUCUUGUUGGGCUGAGCGAAACCUGCACUAGGAGGAGACACGAGUAACGUAUGAGUCGCGUGUGGGGUGGUCUGGGGAAGAGCCCACCGCAAGAGGAGGUGAGUGUUGUUGCCCAUGUUGAGUUGCAGACUGUAAUGGGCACCCGCUUGUAUGGCUGGCAUGGCUGCAGCUGGUUUUUCCUUUGGGCAGAGGAGGGGUAGGUGGCAGCCUUUGUAGAAGGCAGACAGUUGUGUUUUUUUUUUUCCCCCUCCAUCCUGCUUUAUUUUGAAGACUGACAGUAUGUCAAACUAGUAAUUUUUACCUGUUUUACUAAUUGAAUAAAUUCUCUUGAGUUGUAGUUAUUUAGGACAGCAAUCAUGGUGGCAUAUGUAGCUGUCAAGACUCCUGGUGUCUGGGAUGUCAGCUUGUGGGCACAGCUGGAGAUUAAAAUAAACUGCAAGUUUUGAUACCAUCUUGCUCCCACUAGUACUAAAGAAUAGUAAGAUAAGAAAAAUACAAGUGAAUGGAGAGUUUGUGCGCAGUUCAUUGUUCAUGUUUAACAGCUGAACAUGGGCUGGAGGCAGAACGUACAGUGCUCAGUUAGAAGCCUACAGAGGAGGUAUAAAAGGACACCAUUAUUCCAGCAGCUGUUGCUUCAAGGAAACUGCGUUUAAUUUACUUUGUUGCCCAAAGGUUAAAGUAGAUACGUGGCUAUUUGUGCAAUGCUGACUGAGGCAAGAUGAGAGUAAUAGGGUACAUGGUGGGCUUUCUUGCAUCUGUACUUGUUCCAAACUUUGUUUCUGAGGCUGGGAAGGUGCAGCUAGAGGUCCUUCUCCUUGCUGCUAGGUGGUUUUCUGUGCAGUUUGGUAGAGACAGAGCUGAGGGAUGAAUCAGCUGCAGAAAAUCCUGUUCACUUACUGUGUUUUUUCUUGACCCUUCUCUGAAGGGGAGUUGGACUAAACUUGUGAGAUGUCAUCAGUGUUGUUCAGCAAAGCAUUGUGUGAUGACAAUGUACCUAGAGGUACAAAGGGAACCUGUGGCAACCAGAGGCUUUAAACCAAAGAUUUUGUGUCUAGUAUUUAUUAGAUGGACUGAGUCGGGUUUGGAAUUAAGCUCAAGAACAAUUUCAA
RNA transcript from Chroicocephalus ridibundus (black-headed gull), 5086 nucleotides. It is a transcript of the gene named F-box and leucine rich repeat protein 5, with no coding region annotated. The transcript has 12 exons. The record is from RefSeq and is a predicted model, not a curated record. NCBI's taxonomy places the organism in Eukaryota, Metazoa, Chordata, Aves, Charadriiformes, Laridae.